GCGGAAGUCGUAUAGCGGCUAAUAUACCAGCUUGCCAUGCUGGGGACGGCAGUUCGAUUCUGCUCUUCCGCUC
RNAcentral lists this transfer RNA (73 nucleotides) under Elusimicrobia bacterium ADurb.Bin231. RNAcentral's name for it is "tRNA-Gly". It matches the Rfam family "tRNA". Rfam says of the family: Transfer RNA (tRNA) molecules are approximately 80 nucleotides in length. Lineage: Bacteria; Pseudomonadati; Elusimicrobiota. The record is from RNAcentral.